UCCUAAUAGUUUCUAAUAUUAGGAAAUUCUUUGAACUUUCCUAGAAGUUCUAAGAGUAGGCACAUAUCCAUCCACCUAUUCAUUCAUUCAUUUGUUAAAUAUGAGGGCCCGCUCUGCCUAUUCUGUAAUAACCCAGUGCUUCCAGGGAUAGCAAUAACACUGGCUCAGCUAUUCAGAAAAAAAGCUGAGUGCCUACUAUGUGCAAGUUGUCAUAUGCUAAAAUGUGAGCUUACCAAGAUAACUGCAAGUGUCUGCCCUCAAGUUGCUUAUAGUUUGCCACAGGAAGACCAAAAUAUAUACUUAUUGAGAGAAAGAAGAUAAAGUUACGAGUGUUACAGCCCCGAAUAUGGUGGGUGCUUAAGCUGUUUGUUAAGCAGUUGAGUGGCAGGGAGGGAGAUAUUCAAGGCAGAAAGCUGAUUGAGAAAGCAGUAAUAGAUGAGAUUAUAGUGGCAGGAUGGUCGAAGUAGGAAAGGCUUAGAGCAAGGGCUAGACUAUGUCAUGUGUUCUGUGUAGAAGUGAAAAUUUGUAAGCUCUAGACUUUUUAUUCUGCUCGAUCUAAUUAGAAUCAGUGAGCAUAAAAUAGGUUUCUAAUAGCAAGAACUUGCUAUUUAGAUAAGGGUAAAAGCGGAAAUACUAUUAAACAGUCAUUUACCUUGAAGAAAAUAUAAACAGUAGGCUUGUGAGGGUAAAGAUAUUUUCUUGUAGGAUUUAUAUUUACCGUGUAUCCUGUAGUUAUGAGGUUGAGUGGUUUUAUUUUUGCUUAAGAUAACCUCUCCUGUGAGAUUUUACUUUGAUUGCAAAGGUUGUAUUGCUUUUCCUCUUGAGACUGAUGUAUUUGUUACAGCAAGUUAUACCUGCUCACUGUAGAAAUUUGAGUUUUAUAAUAUUUAGCCCCCUAUCACUGUCACUUUUCUGGGAAUACUUGAACAUGAAUAAUUUUUGUCUUGUCACACCCUAGCCCUGUUUGCUUUGGUUAAUGUCCAAUGUGCAAAUGCCUCAUUUUCCUCCCACCCAUCCUGAGUGUUUUCUUCCUCCUUACCGAAACUAAAAACAGCCCCUUCCCUGAAGGUACUGCUUCCUUUGCAGCCUAUUCCAGUGGUGGCUGGUUUAUUUUCAUCCAUAUGACUCAUUGUUAAGAGGUGGCGGAGGUGUUUUCCUUGUUCCUUUGUCAUGUCUUCCAUCUCAACCCCCACACACAUCUCUUUAAAAAGAGUAACUGUCCAUUCACUCUGGUAGGGUAAUUUACUAAAAUGUCAAAUGUUUUUCCUAUAAUUCUCCUUGGUGAAAAGCAUGGAUUCUGGAGACAAAUCGGAGCCCUGGCAUUUAUCAGCUGCAGGACUCAAGGGAUGUUCCUUGUCAGUGUACCUUAGUUAUCUAUGUGUAAAGUGGGCCUAAAAUCAGUACCAGCCUCAUAGGAUUUGCAAUGAGAAUUAAGUUAAUACACGUAGAGCUUAAAAUAGUGCCAGCCAUGUAGUAAGUGCUCAGUAAGUUUUAGCUCUUUUUAGUGCACAGGUGGAGAGAUUGCCUUAGGUGGAAGCAUGCAGGGCUUCAGUACAUACUAGGAGGGAACUGUUGCAGGUGGGUUGGAGAUGCCCAUGGUGGCAGCUUUUGGAAAUUGAUUUCACAUUUCUUCUGUUUUCUCAGGGACAUAUACAUCAAGGUCAUCAUAAAAAUGAUGACACAUGAGGAGGUGUUAUGUUUGAAGACAGGCAGAGAAGGAAAGGACUAGAGACAUUUAGUCAAUUAGCAGGCAAUGCUAAAGACCCAGUUGAGGUGAGUGCUCAUGAAUUUAGAGUGCAAUCAUCAAGCUUCGUUCUGAGUUUUUCUGCAGUCAUAUUUAGCUUUCUAGAUACAGUCUCAGAAAAAACCAGUUGCUUGGAUUUAAUCAUGAUUGGGUGUUCCCAGGUGAAUUUGAUGACGUGAGUUGAGCAUGUGCACAAGGGAGUGAUUAAAAUGAUGGACCAUAGAAUUUAAGCUAUGUGAGAAGGGAAGUGAAGACAUAUGAGUGGUAAGAAACAAUGAGUAACAGGAUCAAUAUUUUGUAGACCUUAAUGGGGUCAUGUCAUUGUUAGACUUGGGGUACUAUUUAGGAUGAACUAGAAUGGUAAUAUGCAGUAGUGAGAAAUAAGAAUGCGUCAAUUGAGGGUAAAACAGAAUUGGCAACCAGAGGACAAAGCUGUCUACAAAUACACUUCCCCUUCAUUUUGGGCACAAAGUUAGACACAUUUCCUGGCACUCUUGCAGUUAAGUGUAGACAUAGGACUGAGUUCUGGCCAAAGGAACGUGAUCAGAGAUGUGUAGCAUUUCUGGGUCUGGCCCUAAAACAUCCCCAUAUGUGAUCCUCCUUGCCUCCUUCCCUACACUGAGUUGAUGAAAGUGACUGUAGUAACCUAGUAAGUCAUGUGCUAAAGAUAACAGAACCACAGAAAGGAAGGAGCUUGAGUCAUUGCUUUGAGGAGAGCUGUCUGCUGAUCAAGAACACCCACUUUAGAUUUCAUGUGAAGAAGAAAUAAACUUCUGUAAUGUUUGAGUUCUAACAUUUUGGGGAUUGGUGUGUUACGUUAUUGUGGUUGACAUUAUCUAAACUAACACUGAAGCCUUCUAGAUUUUGGUGAUACAAGGGUUUAAACAGAACUAUGGUUGUGAGAAGUUGAGAUAAAAUGGUGGACAAAAGUAUUGGUGCGGAGGAGGCCAUGGAACAUCUUAAUUGAUACUGAAAUCACCAAGAAGCAUGGGGAUUCAUGUUAGAGAGUGAUACUGAGUCAGGGGCUAAAAUCUUCACGAAAUGAGUGGUUUGUACAUCUGAAGAUGAUUGCAAACAAGAAGAUAGCAGGUGCUAUAUUCUGAUGAUACGUGACUCGAAGGAAAGGGUUUUGUGGAAAGGAAGGAGGACUGGUCUGCAAAUAGCAAUGAUGAAUAAAAUAGGGCACCAACUUCACCUCUAUGCCUGGUACUAUGUGGAAUGAAAGUGCAAUGAGAUAUUUUUGCCUAUCAGAGAUUUGUUUGCACAUUCAAACCCACUGUAUGAUCCUCUUCCACCCCUUGUUAUUGCAAUCCCCCUACUUUCUGGUCACCCACCCCUGUCUGUUGAGGGAUUUGGAACUGGCUCACUGUCUCCCAACCAUCCUACAAUCUGGUAUUAUCCAUAAUUAUUUCACAUUGACAAGGAUGACUCCUUAUAACAUCUGUGCCUCUGGUUUUAUUGACCUUUUGAUUUCUAAUGACCUCCUUCACUCUACCUGAGUCACUCAUCUCCAUGGAACCUUCUUAAAUCACUAAUUCAGGCAUAUUUUCUUGCUCAAUAUAAUCUUUUCCGCUUUCUAGUUUAGUUACUGCAGUAUGUUCAUCAACUCUCCACUUUCUUCCUAUUUAUAAGUCUCCUACUGUGAUGGAUAUUUUCUGUUUGUUCAUCCAGGACCACUCUCUAGCACACUCCAACUUGCUGUGACCUCAGAGGCUGACCUAUAAUGGAAGCUGUGGAGGGGAGAGCUGCAUUCCUUCUAAUUUUUGUUUUGUCUCAAAACACUCCACAACUUCUUAUUUUAUUUCACUUUUUUUUUCUACCAUCCUAUCACCAAAGGAUGGCUCCCCUUCCUUUUGACCUUUUCCUCUUUUAGGAACUACACCUUUCAAAGGCUAUCAACUCAGAUCACAUUAUGUUUAUGGCCCUUUCCUGAAGGUAGUGCUUGUAGUUAGUGCUCUGGUCUACAAGGACACCUUUUCAGCAUUUUCAUUUUUACGGCAGACUCUUACUUUCUGGCAAUGGUUUUGGAGCAAUUUGAGGACUUUGCUAGCUCAGCUUUUUUCACUUUCAUUGAAGUCUUUCCACAGACUGCCCUUGCUCACCACAGAGGCUUCUAGGAGCAGUGUGAAGGACUCCUGGGUUGUUUUUGUUUUGUUUGUUUUCUUAUAGGCAAUUUGAAGUAGGUGCUUUGUCUUCUAGUUAUGUUGAGAAUGUGGUUUUCAUGUGACCAGACUUCCUAUUGGUGUGGCUGUGGAAAAUCAGAUGUUUUUAUAUAUUAUUGGUGGGAAUGCAAACUGAUACGGCCAUUUUAUAGGGGAAUUUUCCAAUAUCUAAAAAAAACCCCACACAUACGCAUUUACCCUUUGAUCCACCAGUCUCACAUCUAGAAAUGAACUCUGAAGAUAUACCUCCAAUAAUAUGAAAAUAUACAGUACAAGGAUAUUCACCAAAACAUUGUUUGUCAUUGCAAAAGACUGGAAACCACCUAAAUGCUCAUAUGUAGGACUUGCUCAAUAAGCUAUGUUAUAUCCAAACAGUGGAGCAUUAUGCAGCUCUGAAAAAAGAAUGAGGAAUAUCUGUAUGAACUAUUAUGAAGUAUUUCUAGGAUAUAUUAUUAAGUGAAAAAAGUAAAUACAAAAGACUGGUAUGCUACUUUUCAUGUGAAAAAGAA
Molecule: long non-coding RNA, 4415 nt
Filed under: Homo sapiens (human)
Lineage: Eukaryota; Metazoa; Chordata; Mammalia; Primates; Hominidae
Source: RNAcentral